ACAAAUGAGAGAAAUGUGAGAAUGAAAAAUAAGAAUGGGAGAGAGAAAGAUAAGUAUGAAACAAGAGAUAAAACCAAAGAGACAGAGAGAGGAAAGGAAACUUCUAGGUGGUAGGGGAAAACUUGAAAUGCCCCUUCCGUUUCGAUCAAAAACCCAAGAAACCCAUCAUUUACACAUAAAAAAUCAAAAUUACCCCUAAUUUAUACACAAAUUCCCGAAUGAUACCAAUCUCUUGACUAAAACCCCAAAAUGCCCUCCAUACAGAGACAAAUUACAAUGCCACAUGUCAUUCCCUGAAAGUCCUUUAUAAGUAAAAAUCAUAAUACUUAAAAUCGUAUUUAGCCACAUGUCAU
This 353-nucleotide long non-coding RNA is filed under the name Theobroma cacao (cacao). RNAcentral describes it as "long non-coding RNA (TCAC_LNC006140)". Lineage: Eukaryota; Viridiplantae; Streptophyta; Magnoliopsida; Malvales; Malvaceae. The record is from RNAcentral.